UUUAUACUCUCUCCGUACCAAAAUUCUUGUCUUCGAUUUGUCUAAAUACGGAUGUAUCUUGUCACGUUUUAGUGUUAGAUGCUUCUCUAUCUUGAUAAAUUUAAAACAAGAAUUUUGGGAUGGAGGGAGUAGAAA
Triticum aestivum (bread wheat) is the source of this 135-nucleotide non-coding RNA. NCBI's taxonomy places the organism in Eukaryota, Viridiplantae, Streptophyta, Magnoliopsida, Poales, Poaceae. The record is from Rfam.